Long non-coding RNA from Sorghum bicolor (sorghum), 860 nucleotides. RefSeq lists it as uncharacterized. The record is from RefSeq and is a predicted model, not a curated record. The transcript has 3 exons. NCBI's taxonomy places the organism in Eukaryota, Viridiplantae, Streptophyta, Magnoliopsida, Poales, Poaceae.
UCUACACCACCGCAACCCCAUCGCGCGGCUGCAGCGCCACUGCACAUCGAUCUCGCGGCGGCGGAAAUGGCGCCGAUCACCGUCACGCGGCUGCAGCGCCACGUCGAUCUCAUCAUCCGCAGCAAAGCCUCCGGUGGCCACUUGUACACCUCCGUACGUCGUCGUCUCCUUCAAUCUCGCCGCGCUGACGGCGGCGGCGGAAACGGCGAAUCCCCUCGCACGGCUGCAGCGCCACAUCUACCGAUGUCGCGCGCGCAGCAACUACCAAUGCCGCCGGCGAUCACUUCGACACCUCCUUCGAUUUGACGGCGCCAUCGCCCUGAUCGACAAGCAUCUAGCUAGUUUGGACGAUGCUCAUACGGAAUUGGAUGAAUAACUUGGAAGCGAUCUCUAAACAACACUGGAUCUGGUGAAACAGUUGGAUGCUGAUGCUGAAUCAAAGCACCUUAACCAAGCUCCUGGGACGAGGACGUGGCCACUUGUACACCUCCGUCGUCUCCUUCAAUCUCGCGGCGGCGGCGGCAGAAGCAGCGAAUGCCCUCGCGCGGCUGCAGCGCUACAUCUAUCGAUCUUGCGCGGGCAGCAACCAGCAAUUAAUACCGCCGGCGAUCACUUUGACACCUCCAUCACACCACUGCCCUGAUCGACAAGUGAGUUUCCCGAUAUCAUUUGCAUCUUGGUGGACGGACAGAUUACUCGAUCUAUUCAUUUGCGUUCCCAGAUUUACUGUGGAUAGACGACAGUAUCCUCAUUUAUUUGUUUGCAAAGUAAUCAUUAUUAGUGCUCAGAUUAUACUAGUAUAGAUAUAUAAUACGCCAUGAGUUUCUUUCGAAGUCGUCGUCGUCGUGAGUGUCGGUAAA